GAUCAUGGCUCAGGAUGAACGCUAGCUACAGGCUUAACACAUGCAAGUCGAGGGGCAGCAUGGUCUUAGCUUGCUAAGAUUGAUGGCGACCGGCGCACGGGUGAGUAACGCGUAUCCAACCUUCCCUAUAGUAGGGGAUAGCCCGUAGAAAUGCGGAUUAAUACCCUAUGUUGUAUUUUGAGGACAUCUGACGAAUACCAAAGGUUUACCGCUAUAGGAUGGGGAUGCGUCUGAUUAGGUUGUUGGCGGGGUAACGGCCCACCAAGCCUACGAUCAGUAGGGUUCUGAGAGGAAGGUCCCCCACAUUGGAACUGAGACACGGUCCAAACUCCUACGGGAGGCAGCAGUGAGGAAUAUUGGUCAAUGGGCGAGAGCCUGAACCAGCCAAGUAGCGUUGCAGGAUGACGGCCCUAUGGGUUGUAAACUGCUUUUAUGCGGGGAUAAAGUGAGGGACGUGUCCCUUAUUGUAGGUACCGCAUGAAUAAGGACCGGCUAAUUCCGUGCCAGCCGCGGC
RNAcentral lists this ribosomal RNA (514 nucleotides) under uncultured bacterium. RNAcentral's name for it is "bacterial SSU rRNA". It matches the Rfam family "Bacterial small subunit ribosomal RNA", at positions 15 to 518 of the family's 1533-position model. The record is from RNAcentral.